Molecule: small nuclear RNA, 103 nt
Filed under: Catagonus wagneri (Chacoan peccary)
Lineage: Eukaryota; Metazoa; Chordata; Mammalia; Artiodactyla; Tayassuidae
Source: RNAcentral
UCGCUUUGGCAGUGAAUGUACUAAAACUGGAAUGAUACAGAGAAGAUCAGCAUGGCCCCUGUGCAUGGAUGAUUCUCAGCUAUGGGGGAAGCGCUAACAUAUA